UGUCCAAUUGUGUAACGGUAGCACAGCAGAUUUUGGUUCUGUCAGUCCAGGUUCGAAUCCUGGUUGGACAA
RNAcentral lists this transfer RNA (71 nucleotides) under Sanguibacteroides justesenii. It matches the Rfam family "tRNA". Rfam says of the family: Transfer RNA (tRNA) molecules are approximately 80 nucleotides in length. Their secondary structure includes four short double-helical elements and three loops (D, anti-codon, and T loops). Further hydrogen bonds mediate the characteristic L-shaped molecular structure. tRNAs have two regions of fundamental functional importance: the anti-codon, which is responsible for specific mRNA codon recognition, and the 3' end, to which the tRNAs corresponding amino acid is attached (by aminoacyl-tRNA synthetases). tRNAs cope with the degeneracy of the genetic code in two manners: having more than one tRNA (with a specific anti-codon) for a particular amino acid; and 'wobble' base-pairing, i.e. permitting non-standard base-pairing at the 3rd anti-codon position. The record is from Rfam by way of RNAcentral. Lineage: Bacteria; Pseudomonadati; Bacteroidota; Bacteroidia; Bacteroidales; Porphyromonadaceae. RNAcentral also lists the same sequence under 1 other name.